Molecule: long non-coding RNA, 1589 nt
Organism: Suricata suricatta (meerkat)
Lineage: Eukaryota; Metazoa; Chordata; Mammalia; Carnivora; Herpestidae
Exons: 4
Source: RefSeq, a predicted model, not a curated record
CCAGUAGCCACUGCGUGGUGGGGCGCGCGGGCCGGCUCCCAGGGCACCCGAGUAGUAGGGGACUGUCCGUCCUCCCAGCCUGGCAGUUGGGGGUUCGCGUCUGCGCGGUCGCGACGCCUAGAUGGGCUUUGUUCCUGCAGCCCAUAUUGAAGAUGUGCGUCUGUCCACGCGGAAAUGGGGUGCCCUGCUUUGAGACCGGGGCCUCCGCGUCCUAGCUGGCAAUGCUGGGCGUCUCCCUGGCACCCCGCCCAGGGCCUAGCGGCAAGGGUGUUUGUCUGUUGGAGUAGUUCUCAAAGUGUGGGCCAGGGACACCUUGGGGUUUCCUGAGACCCUAUGAGCUGAACCCAGCCUCCAUGCUGUGAGGACCGUCAGCCACGUGAAGGGGUCGGAUGUCAGCGCCCCAGUCGUCAGCCCCUGCCGGGCCGCAGCUGGCAGCCAGCACCAUCUUCGUUCGGAGCCCUCACGUGGCUCCAGCCCCGGCUGCGUGUACCCAAAACCACGCGAGCGGCCCCAAGUGAAAAGAACCACCCAGCUACCCAGGCAACUUCUGGAACGGUACUGUGUCAUUCAAGUCUGGAGUGGUCCAGAUGGGAUUCGAGUCUACAAACUAAAUCAUGGCAAGAAGCAUCGAGUCAAAGGUGUGGAGGUGUGGUUCUGAAAACCAGUAUCAAGCUGGAAUUCUAUGAACCGUGUGCUUUAUGCACUUGAGCAGCCAGAGCAGUCGUCUGAGCUAGUGAUGGAACAGGUCCUGUGAAUACUGCUAACAUAUUCAUGUUUGAAGAGGCCUGAGAGCUUGACAAAGGCGACUACACUGGCAGCCUCAGGCUCCAGCUGUUACCAGGUCUCGUUUUCAGGGUUGGCCUGGCCUUUGGCUGGCACCUGGCAACUUGGCUUUUAGAGUGUUGUCUGUAACCCAACUGGUAAGCAUGUCUCACUGUGCCCAGAACAUCAAACGAUGUGAUUUAUACUGAGCACCUGCUUUCCUUCUGCAAGUUUUGAAUGUGGGAUGUUAGACGUAAGGAGCUAUUCACCUGGGCUGUUACCUUCCGUCACGAGCUCUGACUGGAAAUUUUAAAUCAGGGAUCAUGUUCAUAGUUUCUCAUCUCAAUGCAGAAGUAAACACAUUUUAUUAUACAUACAAAUUACUUGUGCUGCUCUUGGGAAUUGUAGACUUCUGAGUUUUACUUCCAGAGGUUCUGAUCUAGUAGAUCAAGGUAAGCUUGGUAAUGCGCAGUUUCAGUGAACACUCCAAGCAAAUCUGAUGCGUGUGGCCAUUAGAGCACACUCUGAGAGUCAUACCUUGGUCACCUGAUUUCUAAUAAAGAAGGCUUGGCAGUGAGAUUUCCCAUCUCGACUAUUCAGAGUUUCUCUCCCAUGAAUUUUCUCAUGUUGAAUAAGGGAUGUAUUAUAACUGAAAACUUUCCUGCAUUCAUUACAUUCAUAGGGUUUUUCUCCAGUAUGAAUUCUCUGAUGCCUAAUGAGUUGACAUCGCUGACUAAAGGCCUUUUCACAAUGAUUACAUUCAUAGGGUUUCUCGCCUGUGUGUGUCCUUUCGUGUUUUGUAAGAGUUGACCGAUCAUUAAAGGCUU